GUGCCAGCAGCCGCGGUAWACGGAGGGUGCAGCGUAUCGAUACUGGCGUAAGCGCACGCAGCGUUUGUUAGUCAGAUGUGAAUCCCCGGGCUCACCUGGGAACUGCAUCUGAUACUGCAAGCUUGAGUCUCGUAGAGGGGGUAGAAUUCCAGGKGUAGCGGUGAAAUGCGUAGAGAUCUGGAGGAAUACCGGUGGCGAAGGCGGCCCCCUGGACGAAGACUGACGCUCAGGUGCGAAAGCGUGGGGAGCAAACAGGAUUAGAUACCUGGUAGUCCACGCCGUAAACGAUGUCGACUUGGAGGUUGUGCCCUUGAGGCGUGGCUUCCGGAGCUAACGCGUUAAGUCGACCGCCUGGGGAGUACGGCCGCAAGGUUAAAACUCAAAUGAAUUGACGGGGGCCCGCACAAGCGGUGGAGCAUGUGGUUUAAUUCGAUGCAACGCGAAGAACCUUACCUGGUCUUGACAUCCACGGAAGUUUUCAGAGAUGAGAAUGUGCCUUCGGGAACCGUGAGACAGGUGCUGCAUGGCUGUCGUCAGCUCGUGUUGUGAAAUGUUGGGUUAAGUCCCGCAACGAGCGCAACCCUUAUCCUUUGUUGCCAGCGGUCCGGCCGGGAACUCAAAGGAGACUGCCAGUGAUAAACUGGAGGAAGGUGGGGAUGACGUCAAGUCAUCAUGGCCCUUACGACCAGGGCUACACACGUGCUACAAUGGCGCAUACAAAGAGAAGCGAMCUCGCGAGAGCAAGCGGACCUCAUAAAGUGCGUCGUAGUCCGGAUUGGAGUCUGCAACUCGACUCCAUGAAGUCGGAAUCGCUAGUAAUCGUGGAUCAGAAUGCCACGGUGAAUACGUUCCCGGGCCUUGUACACACCGCCCGUCACACCAUGGGAGUGGGUUGCAAAAGAAGUAGGUAGCUAACCUCGGAGGGCGCUACCACUUUGAUA
This 941-nucleotide ribosomal RNA is filed under the name Escherichia coli. Its description in RNAcentral is "bacterial SSU rRNA". It matches the Rfam family "Bacterial small subunit ribosomal RNA", at positions 505 to 1467 of the family's 1533-position model. Lineage: Bacteria; Pseudomonadati; Pseudomonadota; Gammaproteobacteria; Enterobacterales; Enterobacteriaceae. The record is from RNAcentral.